GACAGAGGUUGCAAACGUUGUUCGGAAUUACUGGGCUUAAAGCGCACGUAGGCGGUCCGUUAAGUCAUGUGUGAAAUCCCCCGGCUCAACCGGGGAAUUGCGCCUGAUACUGGCGGGCUAGAGAUCGAUAGGGGUGAGUGGAACUCCAGGUGGAGCGGUGAAAUGCGUAGAUAUCUGGAGGAACACCGGUGGCGAAAGCGGCUCACUGGAUCGAUACUGACGCUGAGGUGCGAAAGCGUGGGGAGCAAACAGG
This 253-nucleotide ribosomal RNA is filed under the name uncultured bacterium. Its description in RNAcentral is "partial 16S ribosomal RNA". It matches the Rfam family "Bacterial small subunit ribosomal RNA", at positions 524 to 776 of the family's 1533-position model. The record is from RNAcentral.